CUCACUAUGUGAUGCGUGGUCUUGUUUUUUAUUUGUUUCCUGUGUCUGAGUCUUUUUUCUUCCCUAAGAUUCAAUUGAUUGAACUAACAUAUAUUGAAAACCUUCUGUGCAGGGCACAGUGGGGCUUCUGAGUUAGAGAAGGAAAAGUCCCUUCCCCUAUGGAACUAGGAAACAAUAAGCCAUGGACAUGGAGCAUGAUACAAAGCAGUGUGUGAAUGGGCAGGAGAGGGAUAAAAAAGUCCACAGAGAAGGACCCCAAGAUUGCAAGAUUUCUGAGGAUGGGGAAACUGAAGUCAAGAAAGGGGAAGUGAAAAUGCCAAGGCCACGCUAUGCCAACGAAUGCUGCAGAAAGGGAAAAGGAGCUGGGAAAAGGAGUUGUGAGUGGAAAAAGUUUAAGAAGCCCUGAUUUAGAUCUUUCAGUCACAAGUUUCAGAAGCGGGUGAUAUAACCAGGUGCAGUGAGUGGAGUCUCUGAAAUUGGCAGUUUCAAAGACUGAGAACAUAAGCCACAGGAAUCCCAGAGUCAAAGAAUCUGGGAUAGGUAUUAUAGCCAGCCAAUCACUGAAACCUCAUGGGGCAGAGUGUGAUCAUCGAGAGUGACCUUCAGGAUUCUAGGCAAGCAGAAGACUGCUAUGAUAUUGCCUUUGGACAUGAACUUGGUGAGAUCAAGUCUGUAAAGGAGCCAAGCCUCAUCUCCCUCUCUGCUCAGACCAAGAUGAUAUAAGGGUAUUAUACCCCUUGGGUUUUGGGGGAAAUGUUUGUAUACUUGUUCUCGCUAUAUCUGUAAAAUAAAUGUAAAAGCAGCCUGGUAUUAAGUGGUUAAAUGAAAUUGUAGUCCUAGUCACUGGCUCUUAAAAAUAAACCCAAGGGAACAUAGAUGGUAGGGAAUUGAACUUAUGACAAAGGAAAGAGACACACUCCAACCCCUUAGAGUACCUGAGAACCCUGAGGCAGAGACGUAACAAGCCUAUCCCUGAGAGAGUGGGGUCAGAGCAUCUGUUACGCUUGUAUCCCCUGGGCUUGGUGUAUGUUGUCAUUCAGUUGUUUUUCAGUUGUGUCUGACUCUUCAUGGCCCCUUUUGGGAUU
Vombatus ursinus (common wombat) is the source of this 1085-nucleotide long non-coding RNA. RefSeq lists it as uncharacterized. The record is from RefSeq and is a predicted model, not a curated record. The transcript has 4 exons. Lineage: Eukaryota; Metazoa; Chordata; Mammalia; Diprotodontia; Vombatidae.